RNAcentral lists this ribosomal RNA (511 nucleotides) under Burkholderia sp. Z1S-214. RNAcentral's name for it is "bacterial SSU rRNA". It matches the Rfam family "Bacterial small subunit ribosomal RNA", at positions 36 to 542 of the family's 1533-position model. Lineage: Bacteria; Pseudomonadati; Pseudomonadota; Betaproteobacteria; Burkholderiales; Burkholderiaceae. The record is from RNAcentral.
CUGGCGGCAUGCCUUACACAUGCAAGUCGAACGGCAGCACGGGGGCAACCCUGGUGGCGAGUGGCGAACGGGUGAGUAAUACAUCGGAACGUGUCCUGUAGUGGGGGAUAGCCCGGCGAAAGCCGGAUUAAUACCGCAUACGCUCUACGGAGGAAAGGGGGGGAUCGCAAGACCUCCCGCUACAGGGGCGGCCGAUGGCAGAUUAGCUAGUUGGUGGGGUAAAGGCCUACCAAGGCGACGAUCUGUAGCUGGUCUGAGAGGACGACCAGCCACACUGGGACUGAGACACGGCCCAGACUCCUACGGGAGGCAGCAGUGGGGAAUUUUGGACAAUGGGCGAAAGCCUGAUCCAGCAAUGCCGCGUGUGUGAAGAAGGCCUUCGGGUUGUAAAGCACUUUUGUCCGGAAAGAAAACCUUUGGGUUAAUACCCUGGGGGGAUGACGGUACCGGAAGAAUAAGCACCGGCUAACUACGUGCCAGCAGCCGCGGUAAUACGUAGGGUGCAAGCGUU